ACAGAAAAAAAAAUUAGAGCUACAGCUCAUGCCAGAGCGAGGGGACAUUAAUUCAUUCUGUACCCCCAGAUGUACAGCAUCUGCUAAUUCUUAGCUGCCCAAGAGGAAAUUUCUGGCUACUGUUAUCAGUGUCAUAAACUUGCAGAAAUGCCAGGAAGGCCCCUAGCUGUGAGAGCAGCUGAAAACCACCGAAAGUUACCCUGGAGAGAAUGCCUGCUAUUGUGUCUGGCCCUGAGAGCAUGCAGAGCUGGUGGCUCUGGUGGCCCAGAGAAGGGAGGGAGAUGUAGAACAGUUCUUGAAGAUCUGCCAUUAACAGGUUCAUCUGGCUUCAAUUCAGGCACUUGGUGCAUUGGCAGUCUGAGCUGUGGGAGCUGCCUUCUUCAGACCCCCAAGGUCAGGACCCUGGGGACACUAGCUUUUGCACAAGCCCUGCUCUUCAUGCCUGUGCCCCCAGCAAAGGCUUUGUGCUGAAGCUGAUGAGGAGGGACAGCCAUCCCCAGGGAGAUGCAGAAGGUGUCUGUGGCGCUUGUGCCUUCAGCACAUGGGAGCUGGGAGCAUCCUCCAUCUUCUGCCCUCACACUAGCAGCAGGCAUCCGGAGGGGGAAUCACAUCCAGUCCACCACCAUCCUGCUUUCACCCUGGCUCUUCCAUCACUUCUCUUGUUUCACAACAACUAAAUGAGCAUUACCAGCCCCUGUCCUCUUUUGUUGUUGUUGUUAUUUUUUCAUCUUUCCCCUGCAGAAAUGUAAAUAACUGUGAUUUUACUUUUUCUGGGGGCUCACUUGAACAGGACACCUUGAGAUACAGCAGAGGCUUGUUGCUUCCCACCCACUCCUCCAUCCUGUCCAUGCGAGGGUCCCAGCAAUACUCAGAACAGGCAGGCUGGGAGAUUCAUUCACCCAUUGCAGCCUUGCUGCUCUUUUACAGCAGUCCCAGCCCUCUCCAUAAACAAGCUGGAGGUCUUCCCUCACCUCACCUUUCUUUCCCAUUGGCUUUUUGGCUUCUGCAUUUCUUUGCCUGCUGGCUUAGUGUAUGAUGUAGUUGUUUGAGAUAUCCUACUACUCUACCAAAUUUUACAGCAUCUCUUGAGCUUUAGCAUGACUUCUUUGCUGUAAAUAAAGUUUUAUCCUUCUGCCUGCA
RNAcentral lists this long non-coding RNA (1140 nucleotides) under Anas platyrhynchos platyrhynchos (common mallard). RNAcentral's name for it is "lncRNA (ENSAPLG00000018774.1)". The record is from RNAcentral. Lineage: Eukaryota; Metazoa; Chordata; Aves; Anseriformes; Anatidae.